AGGCGCAGCGGGACUGGACCUGGGUGCCGAGCGGAGCCGCUGCCAUGGGCCUGGGCGUCAGCGCUGAGCAGCCCGCAGGCGGCGCCGAGGGCUUCCACCUCCACGGGGUGCAGGAGAACUCCCCAGCCCAGCAGGCAGGCCUGGAGCCCUACUUUGACUUCAUCAUCACCAUUGGGCACUCGAGGCUGAACAAGGAGAAUGACACCCUGAAGGCACUACUGAAAGCCAAUGUGGAGAAGCCCGUGAAGCUGGAGGUGUUCAAUAUGAAGACCAUGAGGGUGCGCGAGGUGGAGGUGGUGCCCAGCAACAUGUGGGGCGGCCAGGGCCUACUGGGUGCCAGCGUGCGCUUCUGCAGCUUCCGCAGGGCCAGUGAGCAGGUGUGGCAUGUGCUGGUGAGUGUGGGGUAUGGCAGGGCAGGGUGUGUCGGCAGGAUGAGUUUACUGGGGCAGGUCUGGGUGUGGGCGGGGUGUGAGGGUGGGACACGCAGGAGUGGAGCAGGAGCCUUGGAGCAGUGGCCAGGGAAGACUGAGGGCAGGAUGUGGUCUCAUUCCAGUGUCCCAGAGAGGGCAGCUCAUUACUACAUGAACAGUG
Molecule: small RNA, 591 nt
Filed under: Pongo abelii (Sumatran orangutan)
Lineage: Eukaryota; Metazoa; Chordata; Mammalia; Primates; Hominidae
Description: retained intron
Source: RNAcentral